AAACAAAAGAAGAAACUGGCAGAAAUAUUGGAAUAAA
This 37-nucleotide small RNA is filed under the name Arabidopsis thaliana (thale cress). RNAcentral describes it as "ATSL006940". Lineage: Eukaryota; Viridiplantae; Streptophyta; Magnoliopsida; Brassicales; Brassicaceae. The record is from RNAcentral.